This 273-nucleotide ribosomal RNA is filed under the name uncultured bacterium. Its description in RNAcentral is "partial 16S ribosomal RNA". It matches the Rfam family "Bacterial small subunit ribosomal RNA", at positions 88 to 354 of the family's 1533-position model. The record is from RNAcentral.
UUAUUUAGCGGCGGACGGGUGAGUAACGUGUGGGUAACCUGCCUUUUACGUGUGGAAUAAUCGUUGGAAACGACGACUAAUACCGCAUACGGGUUCUUGGAAGGCAUCUUCUAAGAAAGAAAGGAGUAAUUCGGUAAAAGAUGGGGCCCGCAUCUGAUUAGCUAGUUGGUGAGAUAAGUAGCCCCACCAAGGCAACGAUCAGUAGCCGACCUGAGAGGGUGACCGGCCACAUUGGGACUGAGACACGGCCCAAACUCCUACGGGAGGCAGCAG